UUUGGAAUUUUUCAUAAAUCGCUUGAUCAACGAUUUAUGAAAAAUUCUUCCGCUACGGUAGAGUUAUGUUACGUUUAAUUUGUUUUGCUUAGAUAGUAUGCUUUGAAAGCCUAAUUAGUUGUUAAGCAAACGAUGAAAAAUACAACAUUCAAAUUGCAUUGCUCCGUCAAACUCGGUUCGAGAAACCCCGCAAAGCCUUGCCAUGCCACCACAUUCAGCCGACGUACAUUGCAAUCAUUCAAUGACGAUCAUCGACCGGCCAGCAGAGUCAGUGAACACGAUCACGCUGGGAGAAACUGGGGAGAUAAUCGGUAUCAGUACACAUACUCGAACAGCCAUCAUCCCAACCAGAGGCAGCUACCACACUAGGAGAUCAUACCGUGGACAAGUGAGAAGCGUCGCCACCACCACAUGAGAGCACGAGAGAAGGAAUGGAGCGAAAGAUCCAUCGGCAUCAUCAUGCUGGAGAAGUUAAGUUCAACACGGCACGCACACCAUUAAAGCCCGCCGGCAGAACAAGUGAACGAUCGCAAAGGAGUGGAGUUUAAUUGUCUUCCAUCUGUAAGCCAAACCGCGUGUGCCGUUCAGUCGGCGGUGAAAAUUUCCAUUUCGGAAUUGAACAAAGUGCGUUCGUUAGAAAACCCCUCGAAGACGGCCCACUGGAUUAGCUGAUCUUAUUCUCGACCUGUGAGCAGGUGUAGCACCCGGAAACCUGCGUAAGAAAUCGAUUGGCCAGAUGGAAGAACAACAGGCCAAAAGAAAGUGAGCCGAGUGAUCAUGGCUUCGGCCUAAAUUUUGCGAAACUAAUUUCCGCCAUCUUUGAUUUGGCAGCUAAAUCCGCGUGUGCUUUCCAAGAAGGAGGGAUUCGUCGAAAAACCAGACCGUCUGGAUUGUCGGCCGCCAUUGCCGAAAAUCAUUCCCGAUUGGAAAUAGAUGACUGUCCACGCACGGACUCUGGAUUAAACACGCUAGGUGGAGACAAUCGUGUGAAGAGCAGGAGAAAGUCGAGAAUCAUCACCGGCCAAGCCGAAAGCCAACUCGAUCGCCAGAACUAUCCCGACAGAAGCGACUUAGACCGGAUCACGUCGCAGAGCAGAGAGCCCCUCUAGAAGGGGCUCUUUUCUUUCUUGCAGUUUUGCGCACUCAACGUGCCUAGAGGACGAGACAGGUCGCAGGGUCGCGGCGUCGUAAAUCGAACAUUCCGUUCGCAAUAUCACCCACCCCACACCCGAAGAGCAGUCGCGCCAAGCAUAGCGCGCAGGACAGAGGAUUUCCGUAGCGGAGUUGCCACGACAUUCAGGCGAGACGCGUAAUACGGAGGUUUGCUGAACCUGGGGAGUUUUGAUCGGGAUGUGCCUAUCGAAAGGUGGUGGAUAUGUUGGCUAGGAAGGCGGCAGCUGUGCAGCAUCAACAGGACCGGCGCAAGGCUUCCCUGGAAGAUUAUCCGGUGGCGUAAGAGCAUGCAGAGUCAGUGAGUCCUAGAGUUUAGGAGCAAUGCAUAUUAGCUUUUAAGAAUCCUAGUACAGGAUAGCGUAGGAGGUCUCAGGACCGAGAAUAGGAGGCCAGGACAGGCAAAAUGUUGAAUAUACGCAUUUAAAAUGAAUUUUGCUGAUU
RNAcentral lists this long non-coding RNA (1614 nucleotides) under Aedes aegypti (yellow fever mosquito). RNAcentral's name for it is "lncRNA AAEL021187". The record is from RNAcentral. Lineage: Eukaryota; Metazoa; Arthropoda; Insecta; Diptera; Culicidae.